This 2930-nucleotide long non-coding RNA is filed under the name Cricetulus griseus (Chinese hamster). Its description in RNAcentral is "lncRNA (ENSCGRG00015040474.1)". Lineage: Eukaryota; Metazoa; Chordata; Mammalia; Rodentia; Cricetidae. The record is from RNAcentral.
CCUUUCUCUAUCACCAGGUAAUUGGAAGCAGAAAAAAACCAGUCCCUGACCCCUGCUCUGCUUUAAGCUCCUUGUCACUGCUCAUAGCAGCCCUGUUCUGUUCUCCCCAACGCCGCCACCCAAAUCCUGUUCCCCUGGGAGAAGAAACCCUACCCCCACCCGCCCCUUUCAGCUCUGCCGCCAGGAGACUGGCUUGUCUUGGGGAAGUCACAGGUUUCAUUUUGUCACUUAGAAGCUGUUCCAGCCAGGAAGGGAGCCCAAGUUGACUUGAAGCCAGACCCUUAAUUGGAUUGGGUUCCUAGGGAGGCCAUUAGCUCUCUCUGCAGCUCUGGAGAGAGGAAGCACUUCCUCCCCCACCCGGCUGCACCCCUACUCAUUGCAGCUGAAUCCUGGAUGGCCUUCCACCCAAAUAAGGUCAGUGUUAUGUAUCCAGUCUCUUCCAUCAAGAGGACCGACUACUGACACAUCAGCAAAUCCAGGAGAAGUCACUUACACAAGAAACUGAUAAUCCUCAAGUCCCAGCUCCAAGGAUCCACGCCCAGUGGCUCUUCACAACCCAACCGGAACCAAGAGAGAACAAGCUUGUCCCUGGCCCAGACCAAAUCCUACUUGCUCAUGUACACACCCGUGACUAUGCCCAAACGGGCAUGGUCAGCGCCACGGUGCCUCUGGUAGGUCUCCUUCUACAAUCCAGUUCCUCUAUAAGAGCAGCCACUGAUCUUAACCACUAAACCAUCACUCCAGCCCCCAAACAGCUACUUUUAAAAAUCAGUGCUGUUCUUCCGUUGUGUAGGUCCCGGGAUUGAACUCAUAUUGUCAGGUUCAUCAGCAAGCACUAUACCUGAGCCAUCUCACUGGCUAGAGAAAUGAUUAGUCUAGAGGAUUCUGCCUGGAGGAAUGUAUUAAUCCAUCCAGGAUUAACAGAUCAAUGAGUCACCUUGGUGGGCCAGGACACUUGACUUCCAAGAUGUUGCUUGCAGCCAUCAGGACACCACAAGCAACCUGGAGAGAGGACGAGUAGGGGACAGAAAGUUCCUCAGGCCUCAUUGAACCACUGUAUCCAUCAGUCCCCGGACCUGAUAUCUCCUGGGACUGUUGUACAGGACGGGCACCCCACUGUAACCCCCAGCAGCUAACCGGGAUUGGUGGCUCUAAUAUCAAAAAGAAUUCCAGGACUAGCCAAUACGAGGUUCAGCUGAAGUUUAAUUAGAUGUUCCUAGCAUGAGGGUUAAAAGAGAAAGAGAGGCACUGAGAAGGAAGGGAGACCCACGGGAGAAGGUGAGAAUCUGAGUGUGGGCCUUUCAGGCAAGUGCAGGUCCAGGCUCCUCAUGGGGCAUCCCAGCCCCGUAGUGGUUUUGCAAUGGAUUUUGGAGGGGUUUGAAGUAACUACCUUCAAAGGGUUGCCAAGAAACCUAAGUGAGGUCACUGGGUGGUUCCUGAGGCGGCACCCGGCAGGGUUAAGAUGGAUGAAGCAGAAACCAAGCCACAAGGGUACAGGAAGGUAGGCUGUUUUUAACUGUAAACAGUUUAUAGUUUUGAGAGUCUCAGGAAAUAUCUGAGGAAAGGAAUAAUGCCCUUCCCAAGAUCAUAUGUGUUCAGACUCUGAACCUGGGUGGUUGUUAUUUGAACAUAAAGGACUAUUAUUUUUAUACUUGCAAAUUAACUCUAUCAGAACCUCUGGCGUCAGAGUUAUAGGCAGUUGGUGAGAUCUUUGACCUGAGUGCAAGGAACUGAACUCAGGUCCGCUGCAAGAGCAGUAAAUAUUCUUAACUCCUGAGCCAUCUUUCUAGCCCUUCUUGCUUGUAUUAGCUGUUUAGUUUGUUUGGUGGGUCUGGGUGCAUUUAUACCAUGACUCACAUGUAGAGAUUGGAAGACAAGUUGUGGGAGUUGGGACCAUGUGGGUCCCAGGAUCAAACUCGUUGUCAAUCAGUGAGUUUGGUAGUAAGCACCUUGCCCCUUUUAGCCAUCUCACCAGCCGUUCCAGUCUUGCUAUUAGUGACAUAACAGUUGAGCUGGGUGUUCAUAUCUCUACUUGCUAUGGUGGUUUGAAUGAAAAUGCCCCCAUUGCAGGGAAGUGGUGGCUCAUGCCUUUAAUUCCAACACUUGGGAGGCAGAGGCAGGCCAAGACAGCCCCCAAAGCUACAGAAAAAGAAACUCUGUCUUGAAAAACAAAAGAAAAAGAAAAGAAAAUGGCCCUCAUAGGCCCAUAGAGAGUGGCACUGUUAGAAAGUGUGGCUUUGUUGGAGGAAGUGUGUCACUGGGGGCCUGCUUUGAAGUUUCAAAUGCACAAGCCAGGCCCAGUGUUACUCUGUCUUCCUGCUGCCUGCUGAUCUAAAUGUGAACCUCUCCAGCUCUGUGUCUGCCUGCAUGCCUCCCACUAUGACAAUGAUGGACUGUAAGCCAGCUCCAAUGAAAUGUUUUCCUUUAUAAGAGUUGCUGUGGUCAUGGUGUCUCAUCACAGCAAUAGAAACACUAAGACACCUGCAUUUGGUGUAUUUGCUUUUUAUGUGUAUGGCUGUUUUGGCUAUAUGUGUAUCUGUGUACUGUGUGCAUGCCUGUGGCCUUCACAGACCAGAAGAAAUUGGAUCCCCUGGCCCUGGAGUUACAGAUGGCAGUGAGCUGCCAUGUGGGUUCUGAGAAUUGAACCUGGGACCUCUGGAAGAACAGCCAGUGCUCUUAACUGCUGAGCCAUCUCUCCAGCCCUUCCCCCUGAAUUUGUGAAGUGCUUGCUGCAUGCCAGGGCCUGUCCUGGGGCUUCAUGGGCACAUGUUUCCCAUGACUGCCUGUUCUGAGAGAUGUGACCUGUGACACCCUUUCUAUUGAAUUCUUGGGAGGAACUUAAAUUUUUCCAUCUCAGCUACUCACUGUGUGUGAACUAGAUAGUAAACUUCCCUGUUCCUUUUUUUGAAUCUGAAAACUGCACCUUGUUC